Molecule: long non-coding RNA, 988 nt
Organism: Alligator sinensis (Chinese alligator)
Lineage: Eukaryota; Metazoa; Chordata; Crocodylia; Alligatoridae
Exons: 4
Source: RefSeq, a predicted model, not a curated record
GCGGGGGCGGGGAUCGCGCCUGUCCGCCCCCGGCCAGGAAGAUCCUCCGCGUGCGGGAGCUGCACCCCCCGCCAGGGGUGGAAAGGAGGCGCCGGCCGCGGAAAGGGGCUGCAGGGCCCCGGGGCGGCGUCGCACACUGAAGGGCCCCGCAGCCGCGGAAGAUCCUGGAGGAUGCUUCAGGAUUCCAGGGGUUUGCCACUUCAUGUCGUAGGGAUUGACAGCUUCUUUCCUGGGUUGCUCGUCCAGAGGUUUAGAAGGAGAGGGACAAAAAUUUUUUUUCCAGCCCUAAAAGCACCUGCGCUCGACUGUGGUGGCAUGUAGGUGACUGCCCUGAGUGUCUGAGGGAGGCAGCAUGGCAAUGGACUCUAUUGCAUUAGAGACAUCCCAGAGCAGGGACAGAAUUGAGUGACCAGGAUCCUCAGUGGUGGACAAACUUGGGGAAAGCAAAGAAUGUCCAUGACAUUUCAGGACCUGCAGAGGAAGAUUUGAAGGAGGUUGGAGUGAUCAUCCCAAUGUAUGGAGGAGAGCACAAGGUUCACUUCUGAAAGAUGGGGCAGGGCAAGGCCAGUCUCCUCUCAGCAAAAGAGGAAACAAGUUGUACAGACCAGCAGUUCCUUCAUGUAACCUCCAUUGAAUAUACAAGGGCUCAAGAAAGACUGACCCAGCAGCCCAUCCCUGCACUGCCUGCUCCGUGCUGUGUUGCGGGUUUGGACAGUGCCACCCUUGGGGCAGUUUUCUUCUCUCCUGCUCCCCCAUCAGUCCUUUGCAGACUGAAGAAAAUGAAGGAGAAUGGGGAUCGCAGAGAGAUGCACGUUCACCCCAUAACCUCUUGCCCUUGGUUUUGUAAAUAUGUUCUGCUGUGCUGUCACAGCUGGACUGCAUGAUUGAAAUUGCAGAAUAAAGUAGCUUCUGGAGAAAACUCCCUAGUGUGCAGCAUUUGUGCUGUUCUUUGUCCAUGCAGCAGCAGUUCUGGCCUCCACAAACCCCU